UCUACGGGGGGCUGCAGUGGGGAAUAUUGGACAAUGGGGGCAACCCUGAUCCAGCCAUGCCGCGUGUGUGAAGAAGGCCCUCGGGUUGUAAAGCACUUUCAGUGAGGAAGAACGCCUGGUGGUUAAUACCCAUCAGGAAAGACAUCACUCACAGAAGAAGCACCGGCUAACUCCGUGCCAGCAGCCGCGGUAAUACGGAGGGUGCGAGCGUUAAUCGGAAUUACUGGGCGUAAAGCGCGCGUAGGUGGCUUGAUAAGCCGGUUGUGAAAGCCCCGGGCUCAACCUGGGAACGGCAUCCGGAACUGUCAAGCUAGAGUGCAGGAGAGGAAGGUAGAAUUCCCGGUGUAGCGGUGAAAUGCGUAGAGAUCGGGAGGAAUACCAGUGGCGAAGGCGGCCUUCUGGACUGACACUGACACUGAGGUGCGAAAGCGUGGGUAGCAAACAGGAUUAGAUACCCCAGUAGUC
RNAcentral lists this ribosomal RNA (465 nucleotides) under Vreelandella stevensii. RNAcentral describes it as "partial 16S ribosomal RNA". It matches the Rfam family "Bacterial small subunit ribosomal RNA", at positions 338 to 795 of the family's 1533-position model. The record is from RNAcentral. Lineage: Bacteria; Pseudomonadati; Pseudomonadota; Gammaproteobacteria; Oceanospirillales; Halomonadaceae.